Molecule: long non-coding RNA, 214 nt
Organism: Vitis riparia (riverbank grape)
Lineage: Eukaryota; Viridiplantae; Streptophyta; Magnoliopsida; Vitales; Vitaceae
Exons: 2
Source: RefSeq, a predicted model, not a curated record
CACUUUCCACUACUUCCCUUAUCAAUUUUCUUCCUUCAGGAAAGAGACCACCUUCAUUCAGAAACCAACCAUCUCUCUCUCUCUCUCUCAGAUCUUUGAAUGGGGUUUCUGUGGAUGGUCUGCUAGCUAGUUUUUGGUGAAAAUCCAACUGGGUUUCUGCUUGAUUGCUGAGAAAUUAUAGGAAAAGAAAUUAGAAUUUGGGAGUUUUUGACAG